RNAcentral lists this ribosomal RNA (253 nucleotides) under uncultured bacterium. Its description in RNAcentral is "partial 16S ribosomal RNA". It matches the Rfam family "Bacterial small subunit ribosomal RNA", at positions 524 to 776 of the family's 1533-position model. The record is from RNAcentral.
UACGUAGGGGGCUAGCGUUGUCCGGAAUCAUUGGGCGUAAAGCGCGUGUAGGCGGUUCGGUAAGUCUGCUGUGAAAGUCGGGGGCUCAACCCUCGAAUGCCGGUGGAUACUGUCGGACUAGAGUGCGGAAGAGGCGAGUGGAAUUCCUGGUGUAGCGGUGAAAUGCGCAGAUAUCAGGAGGAACACCAAUUGCGAAGGCAGCUCGCUGGGACGUUACUGACGCUGAGACGCGAAAGCGUGGGGAGCGAACAGG